Molecule: ribosomal RNA, 734 nt
Filed under: Russula monospora
Lineage: Eukaryota; Fungi; Basidiomycota; Agaricomycetes; Russulales; Russulaceae
Description: partial large subunit ribosomal RNA
Rfam family: Eukaryotic large subunit ribosomal RNA
Source: RNAcentral
AGGGUGAGAAUCCCGUCUUUGGCACGGACACACCAGGGCUUCUGUGAUGCGCUCUCAAAGAGUCGAGUUGUUUGGGAAUGCAGCUCAAAAUGGGUGGUGAACUCCAUCUAAAGCUAAAUAUUGGCGAGAGACCGAUAGCGAACAAGUACCGUGAGGGAAAGAUGAAAAGCACUUUGGAAAGAGAGUGAAACAGUACGUGAAAUUGUUGAAAGGGAAACGCUUGAAGUCAGUCGCGUUGGCCGAGACUCAGCCUUGCCUCGGCUUGGUGUACUUUUCGGCCGACGGGUCAGCAUCAAUUUCGCCCCUUGGAUAAUGGCGAGGGAAAUGUGACACCUUUUUAGGUGUGUUAUAGUCUCUUGUCGCAUGCAAGGGUCGGGAUUGAGGAACUCAGCACGCGCCUUUUGGCGUCGGGGCGCUGCCCACGGAUACGUGCUUAGGAUGUUGGCGUAAUGGCUUUAAACGACCCGUCUUGAAACACGGACCAAGGAGUCUAACAUGCCCGCGAGUGUUCGGGUGGAAAACCCGUGCGCGCAAUGAAAGUGAAAGUUGGGACCUCUGUCGUGGAGGGCACCGACGCCCGGACCAGACCUUCUGUGACGGAUCUGCGGUAGAGCGUGUAUGUUAGGACCCGAAAGAUGGUGAACUAUGCCUGAAUAGGGUGAAGCCAGAGGAAACUCUGGUGGAGGCUCGUAGCGAUUCUGACGUGCAAAUCGAUCGUCAAAUUUGGGUAUAGG